AACUUUCAACAACGGAUCUCUUGGUUCUGGCAUCGANGAAGAACGCAGCGAAACGCGAUAAGUAACGUGAAUUGCCGAAUUCAGUGAAUCCUCGAAUCUUUGAACGCCCAUUGCGCCCGUUAGCCUUNUAGUGGGCAUGCAAUGUUCGAGCGUCUAUUU
RNAcentral lists this ribosomal RNA (159 nucleotides) under Muscodor sp. 1CCSTITD. Its description in RNAcentral is "5.8S ribosomal RNA". It matches the Rfam family "5.8S ribosomal RNA". From Rfam's summary of the family: 5.8S ribosomal RNA (5.8S rRNA) is a component of the large subunit of the eukaryotic ribosome. It is transcribed by RNA polymerase I as part of the 45S precursor that also contains 18S and 28S rRNA. Lineage: Eukaryota; Fungi; Ascomycota; Sordariomycetes; Xylariales. The record is from RNAcentral.